Molecule: ribosomal RNA, 717 nt
Filed under: Harrya sp.
Lineage: Eukaryota; Fungi; Basidiomycota; Agaricomycetes; Boletales; Boletaceae
Description: partial large subunit ribosomal RNA
Rfam family: Eukaryotic large subunit ribosomal RNA
Source: RNAcentral
GAGGAAAAGAAACUAACAAGGAUUCCCCUAGUAACUGCGAGUGAAGAGGGAAGAGCUCAAAUUUUGAAUCUGGCGGUCGUCUGGCCGUCCGAGUUGUAAUCUAGAGAAGCGUCUUCCGCGUCGGACCCGUGUACAAGUCUCCUGGAAGGGAGCGUCAUAGAGGGUGAGAAUCCCGUCUUUGACACGGACGAACCGAGGCUAUGUGAUGCGCUCUCGACGAGUCGAGUUGUUUGGGAAUGCAGCUCAAAACGGGUGGUAAAUUCCAUCUAAAGCUAAAUACAGGCGAGAGACCGAUAGCGAACAAGUACCGUGAGGGAAAGAUGAAAAGAACUUUGGAAAGAGAGUUAAACAGUAUGUGAAAUUGCUGGAAGGGAAACGUUUGAUGUCAGUCGCGUCGGCUGGGGGUCAAUCUGGCUUUGGCUUCAUUGCUUUUGCUGGGUGUAUUUCCUGGUCGACGGGUCAGCGUCAGUUUUCGUCGCUCGUACAAUGGCGGAGGGAACGUGGCACUCUUUCGGGAGUGUGUUAUAGCCCUUCGUCGUAUGCGGUGGUGGGGACUGAGGAACUCAGCACAGCGAAUGUGUUUAGGAUGCUGGCAUAAUGGCCUUAAGCGACCCGUCUUGAAACACGGACCAAGGAGUCUAACAUGCCUGCGAGUGUUUGGGUGGGCAAACUCGAGCGCGAAAUGAAAGUGAAGGGUCGAGACCUCUGUCAUGGAGG